This 73-nucleotide transfer RNA is filed under the name candidate division KSB3 bacterium. RNAcentral describes it as "tRNA-Ala". It matches the Rfam family "tRNA". Rfam says of the family: Transfer RNA (tRNA) molecules are approximately 80 nucleotides in length. Their secondary structure includes four short double-helical elements and three loops (D, anti-codon, and T loops). The record is from RNAcentral.
GGGCGGGUGGCUCAGCUGGGAGAGCAUCGGGUUCGCACUCCGAAGGUCGCGGGUUCAAGUCCCGUCCCGUCCA